RNAcentral lists this long non-coding RNA (3582 nucleotides) under Triticum aestivum (bread wheat). RNAcentral describes it as "long non-coding RNA (TAES_LNC018834)". The record is from RNAcentral. Lineage: Eukaryota; Viridiplantae; Streptophyta; Magnoliopsida; Poales; Poaceae.
UCAAACGGCAUGAUGUAUCAGUAUGAAGGCAAGUUUUAGCACAUGUAAUAGAACAACCGAUUAUCUGGCCGGUUCAAGAGUAAGAAGAAACAUUCAAUAUGUGCCAGAAGAGUAGCAUCAUCAAGUUAAACAUGGGCAUGAGACUAUCGAAGUUAACCCGUGCCAGAAGCAAGGCAGGAUCCACUACAGUCAUACAAAUAGAAAAACUAAUUAGCUAACAAUGGCAAUGGAGGCGAUAAAACUACGAAGCCAUAGUUAGGCAUACAAUAGAUAGCUUGGUUUGGUUGCCUCCAUGAGUGCCAUUCCAUAUGAACUUGAUGUGAAUAGUUUGUGAGAUAGAUGACCACAAAAUUAUUUUUGUAUAGGCAAUGCACUUGAGAUUUGCUUUUAAAGCAUAUGGAGAGUGAGCGAUGGUUUCCCCCUUCUAAUCUUGGAAGACGAAGACCCAGAUCUGUUAUUCUUUGAUCCCUGCCGCCUCGACAAAAUUUUUAAGACCAAGAGGAUUGUUGUCAGCUUGGACCUAGCAAGAUAUGUCAUAGUAAUCAUUAAGCAAUCACAUUGGUAAGCAACACUCGAGAGCACAGUAGAACCAAAUAUAUACAUGUUGACCAUAUCUUAAUAAUGAUAGAUCCAUUUUUCUGAAAAUAUAAACAACCAAGCUUCCUUGUAUACAGUGACUCUACCGGCAGUUUGGUUUAUUUGCCUGUGUGUGUGUUGACUUGCUUAAGAAGUCAUAGAUACAAAUAGAAGCAUAAUAAGUGGUUUUAGAAAAUAUAUCAAGUUCUAAAGAUAAAUAAAACUACUUUCAGUAUAUAUAGUAGAUGCCAUUGCAGAUAACACUCCAAUACUAACAUUAGAAAAGGUAAUCUGGUUUUGGUCACCCAUGAAAAAAUUAGAUAAACACCAGAUGGCAAACAAAAUACAUGUUAAGCCUCCAUCCUUGUGAUUAUUGUUUUUCUUGUUCCAGAGCUCCUGUAGAAAUGAUUUACAUGGUGAUCCGGAAAAAGUUGAAGCAAGCAUAUAAAUAGUGACCCUCCUAGUGAGUGAACAAAAUGUAAAAAAACUCAUUUUCAUUUAGUGCAAACUAUGAUUUAAUCUUUCUUCUUUUUCCAACAAAAAUGUUAAUAUUCAGAAGGUAGUUGGAGACAGGGCUACACCUUAUGAAGGUUUUAAUCUUACGGUUCAAUGAAUUGCAUAGGCAGAGCACACAGUUGAUGGAUUCAAACUAUUUUUAAGAGAUGAUGUGGCAAGGCUAAGAAGAUGAAAAUAAUUAAGAAGAAAAGUUCAUGGUCAACAACUUACGAAGAUUUAACUGCGUAGUGCCUCAUGGCAGUCAUCAACCUUUGAGCCGUAGAACUGUAAGAUCAAACUGAGACUCAAGCCUGCAUAACCAUAGGAAGAAAAGGAUCAUCAACAAAGAGGACAAAGUGAAUCAGGAACCAGUUCCUGGUUCCUCUAAAAAAUCAUUCUAAAUGACAAACUGUGAGAAGAAAAAAGAACUGGUCUAAUGACAUAGAUGCGUUAACCGGCAAACACUACCAAGUCAGAUCAAAUACUCAGCUUAUUUCUGUCCCUUUUCAAUAUUAAGAACGAUUAUUAAGUAACCAGGUACAUAACAAAAACAACUAAUGCCUACAUAGUAGCUCAUCUCUCUUAAUACAUCUACACUGAUUUCGAUGUACAAUUUAGGACCAAUGGAAAACCAGAAAAACACAAAAAAAAACUCACACAAUAAAGCUAAAACUAAAUAUUGCACGCCGUCGAGACCUAUCUGGCGUGCAACAUCUGUCACUACCGAAGGACAUCGGCGUCAAUCACAGCGGUAGGGCCAUCAGCAUAGCCAGCAGGAAUUGCAUGCCAAACCACGGUCGCAGCUAUGCAAUGGGCUACAGAUUUAUAGGCCGAACCAAGUACGUGCAUAAGUCGGAAACAAUGGGUUACAGAUUUACCAUCAAAUAGUUGCUCGCUUAUAAGGGUGUAAGUGGAUGGACUCAUUUAAUAGCAGUCACCAUGUAUAUCACAUUAUCAUCUAAUCAAGAACAGUUUUUGACAAAUCGGAGAUUUUGAGUAAUGUCUGAACAAUGGCAUAAAAAGAAAUCUGAAUCACAAAUAUGCACAAUAUGACAGUCGAUGGCCAACAUUCAGACAAAAUCCAAUAUUUGAGAUUAAUCUAAAAUAUUUAAUACCAUAGGCAGAAUAUGAUGUUAAAUGGCACUGACCACACCAUGAACUAUUACAACUACUGAUAAACAUAACCCAAACAGGAACAGUUGAAGCUAGCUCACCAUGGGAAAAAUUCAGUUGAUUUACUCGGUUAUAAAGUUAAAUAGGUUACCUCAAGUAACGGUGCUGGACGAUACAUAUCAUCAACUCCUGCAAUUACCUAUCAAACAUUCCAUAGAAAUAAACAUCACUGGAUGCCAAUGCAUACCACUGCUUGAUGAAAUAAUAUAUAAGUAAUACAAAACUACAAUUCAGUACAUUAUUUAGUUUUUGCCAGAAAUGGGAAUUAAAAUAAAUCAAAAGAGAGACUAUACUUUCAUGUGAGAAGAACAUCUUGAGUUUAUAGCUUUCAGGUUUGUAGUAACAAACAGGACAACUAUGAACUGAAGAUACACAUCGAUACUUCUCUAGGUUAUCUCACCAUAAGUCAACAUAAUUGCAAGGUCAAAUGGAAAGAGGCCGGAAUACAACUACUUCAAUAGUGCAGUAACCAUGUAAAGAAAAAGAUACAUAACCGCAAUAGAAGAAAUGCUAGAUGAGUAAUUUGUUGACGCCAAAAUAAGAUUAUUAGAUACAUAUCCGUAAUUAUCAAAAAACAUUGAAAGAAAUCAUCUAGUAUAAGCUGGAAGACAUGGUACAUCAAAUCUAAAGGAGAAGCACCCUAGAUAAUAUCCACUGAUUUUGAUAAUCAACAACAUCGAUAUAAAUCAGAACAAUCUUCAACCAUAGUAUCCUAUAUAGCACCCCAAAAAAAUCAGAACAACAGGUAAGAAGAACAAGCUAACUGAGCAACAAAUGAAACAAAAGGGGCCCCAGAAUUAUAUACACUGCAUUAUUCAUCAUUGACAGAGUUUUGUUAGUCAGUUCUAUUUUCUUUUGGAGUAUAAAGGAACUAACAAAUAUAAUAUAAGAGCAGUUCUUUUUUCUUUGAUAAUAUAAGAGAGUAUAGGAAUCACAGAGCUUGUUUAAGAUAUUUUGUCACAUUAAGUAGUUCAUAUAAGCCUAAUCCAGAACUAAACAGAGAAAGAUAGAGAGUGAAGAGAAAUAAAGUAGGUGCAGAAAUAAUUUAAAUGUAAAUACAGAAAUAAAGUAGAAAUAGAAGUAGAAGCAGAAAUAAACUUUAGAUGUAGCAAUCAAACUAAGUAACUUAUAUGCCGGACCAGCUCACCUUGCCUCAUGUUGAGUCUCAAGGAGGGUGUCAAGGAGGCGAGGCAUCCCAAUCGCAACAAGGCGAAUCAGAGGCAACCCAUCUUAACUCGACGUCCUGGUCCUCCUUCAGGCAACCGUCAACGGAGUGAGCACAAAGUAAAAAAAGUAACAUGAACAAACCAAUAAAUGUACCUUUGAUGAGAAUGCCCU